Molecule: RNA transcript, 2083 nt
Organism: Mauremys reevesii (Reeves's turtle)
Lineage: Eukaryota; Metazoa; Chordata; Testudines; Geoemydidae
Gene name: maestro heat-like repeat-containing protein family member 6
Exons: 10
Source: RefSeq, a predicted model, not a curated record
AUCCUGGAGGAGAUGAGCAGGCAGCUGAGAGACCACCAGACCGUGGUGCGCUGGUUGGGGCUCAAAGGCCUCCUCAAUCUGGCCCGUCUCCCAGAGAAGGUGGGGAAACUCCAGCGUCUGCUGCCAGAUGUCCUGGAGCGACUCCAGGAGGUAGACAGAGCCCUCAUCCACAAGGCCAUCGCCGUGCUGAAACACCUCCUCGCCGGCAUGGACAGGCAGAGCGCCAGCUGCGCGGCUGUGCAAGUGGCUGAGCAACUCCUGCCAUUGUUUGAUGAUGUGACCAGCAAGCUCCGGGUGCUCUCCAUCACCCUUUUUAAAGACCUGCUGGAGCUUGUAAGGUGGCCCAACCGGAGUGAGAUGAAGGAGUAUGUGCUCCAGAGCCUGGUCCCACUGCUCCUCCUUGUUCAUGAUGAGCGUCCCAACGUGUCCCAGGUGUGUUGGGACACCCUCAGCAGUGCCGCCCAAUUCCUGAGGUGGCACCAGCUCAGUGGCCUCAUCCAGCACAAGGAAACCUGGCGAAUCUGUGACUGCCUGGUGAGGCGCUACAACGGGAGAGCUGAUGACUUCCUGUGCCAGACCAUGGCCUUCCUGCAGAACCCACAGACUCCAGUUAGGGAAGCAGCCAUCAGGUUCCUAGGGCUCACUGCCCGGCAGCUGGACCAGGGGAGCCAGAACAAGUUGAACGCCAUCUGCGAGAACCUCAAAGGCUUGCAGCAGGACAGCAAGUCCUCAGUCCGAUGCCUGGCUUCUCAGACUAUUUUCAUCCUGGAGGCCUUCAAGAACCAGCCUCCAGCCUGCUGCAGCCUAUGGACAUUGGUCCAUAGGAUAACAACAAUGUGCACUGAGGAUAGCCCGCUCAUUGAAGCUGCCCAGCUGCCCUAGCUCUGGGAAAAGCAAGCCUCCCUUCUCUGGGGGCUUGGUGCAUCAGAGCCCACCUGGAGCAAGGUGGAACACACGGCUUCUUCCCAAUUGGCUGCCUGCCCUGCCCAGCCAUAACACAGACCGCUCCACUGGAUCCCACAACCCAUACAGGGAGAAAGCCGUAGAAAAUGCUGACAUCUCCAAAAUCAUAUCAGGGCAAGAAAAGGCACUUGCUGUUUGCAACACUUGUACAGGACAGACACAGGGUGAGGGCUAGACUAAGUGGCCAUGGUUAGUCCUGCUCCAUCUCUACCGUCUCAGUUUCCAUCUACAGCUGUUCACACUCAAAAUGCAGGACAGGGAACCUGGCUAUGCCACUGCCUUAGUCAGCCCUGCCGCUGCAGCACACAUGGUAGCAGAUGAGACAGAAUGAGGCCCAGCUCCAGGAGGGUACCACAGCCAGUGCUGCGAAGGGAGCUGCAUGGCCUGUACGGCUGGGAGAGGACAAGGGUGGUCAUGGGGAGAAGAGAGCCUGGCAGAGACAAAAUACUGCAAAUUAUGUAGAAACAGGGCUGAGCAAAAUUGUCUCCAGUGUCCGUUAGGGUGGAUUUCCCUGCACCCAGCCACCCAGAAGCAGCCAGGGCUGUUCCAGGAUUUGCACCUUCGCAUGAGGCACAUCGGUGGGGGGUGCGGUCUGGACCGGGCACCUGGAAUUCCAGUCUCCACGGCUGGCGAGCUGCCCAGCAGUACGGCUGCAGGCUAUGAGUCCUGGGGGGGCUCGUGGCAUUUCUCACACUGGGUGGCAUAUGCAGAUGUGCUCAGCACUGGCCUCCUUCUGCUCCCACUGAGGUCAACAGAACGGCGCCUUCCCUCCCGCUUGCCAUGGGAGCAGAGUUAGGCUGACGCUGAGUGCUCUGGACUACCCCAUCCAGAGCGUCCCCUCCUCGCCAGGCUUUUGGCAGGCAGCAAGCCCCUGGAGCUGGCACGUACAGGAGAGCGGAAGUACAAAAGAUGGCUGGAGAACUCAGCUGGGAGGCAGCCGCCAGAGGAGCCAGAUGCCUCCUGUGAGCUCCCAAGCUGGAAGGCUGCUGCUGACCCCGAGGGAGCCGAGGACUGGCCAGGGCCAUUUACAGACCCAAGCAGGGAGGAGCUGCAAGCUGUGAAAGUAGAAUGAAUUAUAUUGUAAAAAUAAGAAUGGAUUAAAGAAAUGUUGUAUGUACCU